GACGGAGGGCGCUAGCGUUGUUCGGAAUCACUGGGCGUAAAGGGCGCGUAGGCGGCCAAGCAAGUCGAGGGUGAAAGCCCGGGGCUCAACCCCGGAACGGCCUUCGAGACUGCUCGGCUCGAGACCGGAAGAGGAGGGUGGAAUACCCAGUGUAGAGGUGAAAUUCGUAGAUAUUGGGUGGAACACCAGUGGCGAAAGCGGCUCUCUGGUCCGGUUCUGACGCUGAGGCGCGAAAGCGUGGGGAGCAAACAGG
Molecule: ribosomal RNA, 253 nt
Filed under: uncultured bacterium
Lineage: Bacteria
Description: partial 16S ribosomal RNA
Rfam family: Bacterial small subunit ribosomal RNA
Source: RNAcentral